GGGGAACCAGGACUUUUACUUUGAAAAAAUUAGAGUGCUCAAAGCAGGCCUAUGCUCGAAUACAUUAGCAUGGAAUAAUAGAAUAGGACGUGCGGUUCUAUUUUGUUGGUUUCUAGGACCGCCGUAAUGAUUAAUAGGGACAGUCGGGGGCAUCAGUAUUCAAUUGUCAGAGGUGAAAUUCUUGGAUCUAUUGAAGACUAACUACUGCGAAAGCAUUUGCCAAGGAUGUUUUCAUUAAUCAGGAACGAAAGUUAGGGGAUCGAAGACGAUCAGAUACCGUCGUAGUCUUAACCAUAAACUAUGCCGACUAGGGAUCGGACGAUGUUAUUUUUUGACUCGUUCGGCACCUUACACGAAAGUACAAGUUUCUGGGUUCUGGGGGGAGUAUGGUCGCAAGGCUGAAACUUAAAGAAAUUGACGGAAGGGCACCACCAGGAGUGGAGCCUGCGGCUUAAUUUGACUCAACACGGGGAAACUCACCAGGUCCAGACACGAUGAGGAUUGACAGAUUGAGAGCUCUUUCUUGAUUUCGUGGGUGGUGGUGCAUGGCCGUUCUUAGUUGGUGGAGUGAUUUGUCUGCUUAAUUGCGAUAACGAACGAGACCU
Molecule: ribosomal RNA, 605 nt
Filed under: uncultured fungus
Lineage: Eukaryota; Fungi
Description: SSU rRNA
Rfam family: Eukaryotic small subunit ribosomal RNA
Source: RNAcentral